Molecule: ribosomal RNA, 290 nt
Filed under: uncultured bacterium
Lineage: Bacteria
Description: partial 16S ribosomal RNA
Rfam family: Bacterial small subunit ribosomal RNA
Source: RNAcentral
GUGGAUUAGAUACCCUAGUAGUCCACGCCGUAAACGAUGGACACUAGGCGUCGGGGGGAGCGACCCUCCCGGUGCCGUCGCUAACGCAGUAAGUGUCCCGCCUGGGGAGUACGGCCGCAAGGCUGAAACUCAAAGGAAUUGACGGGGGCCCGCACAAGCGGUGGAGCAUGUGGUUUAAUUCGAAGCAACGCGAAGAACCUUACCUGGGCUUGACAUGCUGGUGAAAGCCGGUGGAAACAUCGGCCCCUCUUCGGAGCGCCAGCACAGGUGCUGCACGGUCGUCGUCAACU